This is a long non-coding RNA of Setaria italica (foxtail millet), 4942 nucleotides long. RefSeq lists it as uncharacterized. The transcript has 6 exons. The record is from RefSeq and is a predicted model, not a curated record. Lineage: Eukaryota; Viridiplantae; Streptophyta; Magnoliopsida; Poales; Poaceae.
AGGACACGGUCGUGCUGAGUGGUAACUGGCGGGUUGGGAAGGUACCAAUGGUCCCGUUGAAGAAGCAACAGCGGCCAUUAACCCAAGUGCGGUUGGCUGGUAGGAUAAGGCUGGACGAGCGUGCUCCACGCCAACGGUGGCUCAUGGUGACCAAGUCCGGCGAUACAGACGAUGAGGAGGUGGUGCCGUCGCCAGACCCAACCGUUGUGAGGACCCUGCCUCACGUGUCUUCCCUGGCUGCUACCAGUACUCCUCCAACUGUUGCUCAUAGUCCUCCAGCCACUACUAGUACUUCCAGGGCUGUUGCCAGUACUCCCCUAGCUACUGCCGUUAUUCACCCAACUGCUGCCAUUAUUCGUCCAACUGUCCUCUUGCAGUUGGCUUCUCCUCCUCCAUUUUCUGCAAGGUUCUGGGUGCGGACCUAAGUGCAUACCUCCUCUCGGUGGGUGAUUCUGACUCAAGCAUAGGAAUUGCUAGUAGGUUUUCUUUUGUUGGAAUGUUGAUUUUCAUUGUAGGGUCACGUUGGAUGCUGCUUUUGGGGAUGCCACAGCUCUGCUGCCUCUUGGUGGUGGUGCCAAGCCAUCUCCAGGCACUUCUCCUGAUGCGGCACAGAUCUCCCCGCCUUCUCUUGCGCUGGAAGAAUCCCCAGCGCGGGAUGAAGCCCAGCGCGUGCUGACUCCUCCCACCAGCCCCCAGCGUCAACAUGAGGAUGACUCUGCUACUGCACCCGAGCCGCUGGCGGGUGCCAUGGAUGUGGUGUAGGAGAUCUAUCAAGUGGUUUCUCUGCCUCAGCUGAGUCCUUGUUGCCCUGUGUGCACUGUCCGAAUGGUGGAUGAAGGGUACAUGGGUGAGAUGGAGGAGGACCCCUAGGUGGAGCAUGAGGACAACGAAUGGCUCCCUUGCCUUCUCAAUGAUGCUUCGAUCUCUCGGGUAUGUCUCUUUCCCUCAUUACCUUCUUGUUGUCUGCAUGCUUUGGUUCUGAUGGUCGGGAGGUAGUACUCCACCAACGAGGAGAUCGAGAAGCUGCGGGUGGAGAGCUCCCAAGUGAAGCUCGAGUCGUCAGCUCUCCGGCAGAAGGUUGAGACUCUUCGCGGCAGCCUCAAAGCCCAUGCGGAGGAGCAGGCAAGUGUGCAGUAGGAGUUGGAUGAGCUGUGGCGGAAGGUGCAGGACCUUGGUAGUGUGGUCGAGCAGGCUCGAGAAAAUGAGGUCAAGGCCAAGAAGGAUUUGGAAGAGUAUCAUGGGGUCAUCCACACGCAAUUUGCAGAUCUAGAGGCACACUGCAAGUGGGAGCGGGAGAGGGUGAAUAACCUUGAGGCAGUAGCUCUGCCAUUGAAGGAUAUCCUCGACCCACUUCCGGAGCAGCCAACUACCUCUGAGCCGAUCCGUAGGCCACACAACAUGCUGGAUCGCUUUCAGAUUGCCCCUAAGAGGUUUUAGUUGUACCUUCGGACGAUUAGCAUCAUGAGCACUAGUCGUGUGCUGGUGGUGCUAAAGUCAGUGCUCACGAUGUUGAAGUCUCUAUUUCCUUAGAUGCCCUUGGAGCCAUUAGCUGGCGGUGAUGCACGCGGCACUACCUCAAGCCAGAUCGAUCAACUACUACAUGAAGUGCAGGCCAAUUGCCAUUGUGUCAAUGUUUUCACAUGACAACCUAUCAAGGGAGUAUCCGAGAUAGUGUUUUGGUUUGUGGGUGUUGCCGAAAUCAAGAAGUCGAUGGGGAUGCAGGGACACGAUUUAGACAGGUUUGGGCCGCUAGAUCGCGUAAUACCCUACGUCCUAUGUGUUGUACGCUUGUAUAUCAUUGACUUGUUUUGAGGACGUCCCUGCCCACCCUUAUAUAUUGGGGGAGCAGGGUUACAGGGUAGUCUUUGGUACAAGAGCACUAGUCGGAUACGACUACAGAGUCCUACUCUAUCUUGGUAGAGUAGUUUCUUUGUAUUCUGACUAGUCCUUCAGGAGUUCCAUGUAGUCUAAGUUGCCCUGUAGCGUAGUCUUCAUGUCCUGAUAUGUCUCGAGUACACCCCCUUGAGUUGGUCCGUACAGAUCUUCUGGUGGGCCUAGGGAUGUAUGGUCGACAAGCCCCCGAGUACUUUGUAGUCAAAUGAAAUAGUUCUGAGUUCUCAGUAGACGUUGCUCGACUAGUCUUUGGUACUCGUUGAGUACUUCUGUUGUGGCUAGUCAUCGAGUACCCGAAUACUGUCAUGCGACUAGAAGGUACUGCUGCCCCAUUCUAACAUUGGUUUUGAGUAGUUUGUCUUCAAGUCUUUAUAUGGAAGUGCGAUGAAAAUCGCACUCCAUAUGGAGUAGCCCCCGAGCCUUAGGUUGAAUCAAAGAAUCAGGCUGAGGGUCAAACUGAAUUUGCUUCGUCUUUCCUUAAUCCCUAAAGAAAAAGAAAUUUUUGUCCAACGGGCGAGGUGUAUGCAGCCCCCGAGCACUUGAUCGACUAUGUCCAGGCGAUGAAGGGGUCAAUCAUGAUCAACGCGACCGUUGGACUUUAAUCUCAUGAUAUAUCUUGAGAGUAUCAGACCGUUGCGAGAUUACUAGCUGCGUUCCUAGAAUCGCGGAGCCAUUUUAGAUUCGUUGCGAUGUUAUACAACGUAAGGCCGGUAGCCUCCGAGGUUUAUGCUUCCAACCAUUUGCAUCUGUUAUUCUUUAUCUUGAAAACCCUAACGCCGCCGCUUGUGCCACCGCCACCGUCAGCCAAAGUUAGUGACCUCAAGUGUCAUAGUAGCUUUCUCCUCCUCCCUUACACGUUUCGAGGUGAUGCGUGUGAAGAAAAUGGGGAAGAAGACCGACAAGUCCAAGGGAAAAGCCGUGGAAGGAGCGAUGAAGGAUUCCAAGGGAAAGAGCCACAACUUCCUCCACCCAAAUGUGGGCCUACCGAUCAGACUGCUCUGCCAAAUCAAGCAUCCGCUUGGAAGAUGUCCACCAUGAAGAAGGAAGCAAUCCAAGAGUUGGUGGAUGCAAAAUUGUUGCAGGAGGAGGCCAUCGUGAAUUGGAGGUGCGCCUAUGCCAAUGCCUGGAAUUUUGAGGCCCAUCCAAAAGAGACAGUGAUUUGGGCUCAUUUUGUGGAGAGAGGACUUGUUGUUCCUACGUCAAAGUUCUUCAGAGGUAUCCUCAACUUUUACAACAUUUAGCUUGUUCAUCUGAGUCCCAAUGGGAUAUUGCACAUUGCAAUCUUUGUGCAUCUCUGUGAAGCAUAUUUGGGGAUACAACUCCAUUUUCAAUUGUUUCGCAAGCUUUUCCGCUGCAAGCCCCAGCCUAGUCAAGAUAGGAUGGCAGUACUCGAAGGCGCGGGAUUUCAGCUAAGGGACUCUGAUGAGUAUUUGGAGUAUGAGACUCCACCGUCCCAUGGCACCUGGAAGGAGAUGUGGUUUUACAUUGAGAACCAUGGGCCUCCAAUGCUAGUGAUCACCGGGUACCACCCGAAGUACUCGAGCAAGUGGCUUGAAGAGCCUAGCAUUGAAGAUAGUCAUCAGAUAGCUAAGUUAUUGCAAAGGAUCGUAGCGUCGAAGAAAGCAGGGCUGACUGGGAUUAACGUGGCCGCCAGCUUCUUGAAGAGAAGAUAGCAACCAUUACAGCUGCGCCUGACUUGGGGCUAUGAGUACUCAAGCUUUGAUGAUCCAUCAUGGAUGUCGGUUGAGGAUAUAUCUGAUGAUGCAGUUGAAGACUUGUUUUGCAAAUGUUUCAAGAAUUUCCAAGGAGUUCCCGAAGUCGAUGAAUCCAUCCAGCAAUUUGACAAGUGGUAUAAACCCAGAGAGUCUUGAGUUCUCAAAGGAUAUAAAUUUGGAACCGACACCUCGAAGCGUCCAGCAGGAGAUGUUGGUGAUGAAGAGGUCCAAGCUCCAAUGCCGAAGAGAAGACGGACCAUGGUGCAUAAGCAAUUAGUCAGCAAGCACUCGGAGAUGUUCAAAGCUCCACCACCAGUUGUUGAUGAUGUGGAUGAAGACAUUGAGGAUGCUGCGGAUGCAACGUAUAAAGCUAUCGAGACUACUUCCAAUGAUGUAAUCACGAUAGCUAAAGACGCGGCUGCUGAUGUGGUUUCUUUGGAUACAUCUGCUAAAGAUGCAGGCAUGCGCCCAAAAUGGCUACCACUCAAGUAGCUGUUGUUCUUGAAGUUGCAAGUGGUGGAGCGGGCGACUCAUCAGAGACUACCAUAAGUGGAAUUGUGAAAAUGUUCGAAGCAGUUUGUGAUGCCAUUUUGCUUGAAGUCCCUGCUAGCAGUGAGUACGCGAGUACUGGUAGUAGUUGCACGUACAUUGUCUCUAAGUUGGUUCUUUCAGGUCUUGGCAAAAACACCGAGGAGUUGCCACAUGUACCGAUUAGUAAGCCAGAUGCGAGUGUACAGCCAGUCCCCAUGGUGAAGAGAAGUCAUCGAGUUCCUCCCCAAUCCUCCAAAACUUCUAAGGAUAUUGUUCUCGAAGAAGUGAGCACCGAACAGGUUGAAAAUUCAUCGGGCAUGGACUCUGUUGCGGCACCCGUUGUUGAUUAAACAAGUGAGGACCCAGCGCAAACUAGUGACACAGGUGCAGUGACUCUCGCAGCCACCAUACUGCGGAAUGUAAUUUGUUCACUUGAGGAUUCGGUGCUACCAGCCCCCGAGGUUGUUAAUGACAAUCCUCCACCUGCAAUCGAGAUUGCAGCAACUACAACAGUGGCGAGUAUCAAAGAGGAGGUUGUAGUAGUCUCACAAGGUGUCAAGGCAUCUAGGAAGGAGGUUGUACCAACUGUUGCAUUUGAGCAAGCAGCGAACAGGAAUGUUUCAGAGGCUGGAGCUUCUAUUUCUUAACAGCUGGUCCUUACGCCAAGUGUGAGGGCUGGUGUGGCGGUCGAGGCUCCAGGGUUUGUUGGAGGUAUGCCCUAGAGGAAAUCAUAGAGAUGAUGAUAUCUGAUUGUAUCCAUGAUUUGUAUAUUGCGUUCAUUGAAUAUCCAUUAAAGGCUACUU